RNAcentral lists this ribosomal RNA (264 nucleotides) under uncultured bacterium. RNAcentral's name for it is "partial 16S ribosomal RNA". It matches the Rfam family "Bacterial small subunit ribosomal RNA", at positions 90 to 354 of the family's 1533-position model. The record is from RNAcentral.
UCUUAGUGGCGGACGGGUGAGUAACGCGUGGGUAACCUGCCCCAUACCGGGGGAUACCACCUGGAAACAGGUGCUAAUACCGCAUAAGCGCACGGGAGCGCAUGCUCCUGCGUGAAAAACUCCGGUGGUAUGGGAUGGACCCGCGUCUGAUUAGCCAGUUGGCAGGGUAACGGCCUACCAAAGCGACGAUCAGUAGCCGGCCUGAGAGGGUGGACGGCCACAUUGGGACUGAGACACGGCCCAAACUCCUACGGGAGGCAGCAG